This 71-nucleotide transfer RNA is filed under the name Paulinia acuminata. RNAcentral's name for it is "partial tRNA-Val". It matches the Rfam family "tRNA". From Rfam's summary of the family: Transfer RNA (tRNA) molecules are approximately 80 nucleotides in length. Their secondary structure includes four short double-helical elements and three loops (D, anti-codon, and T loops). Further hydrogen bonds mediate the characteristic L-shaped molecular structure. tRNAs have two regions of fundamental functional importance: the anti-codon, which is responsible for specific mRNA codon recognition, and the 3' end, to which the tRNAs corresponding amino acid is attached (by aminoacyl-tRNA synthetases). tRNAs cope with the degeneracy of the genetic code in two manners: having more than one tRNA (with a specific anti-codon) for a particular amino acid; and 'wobble' base-pairing, i.e. permitting non-standard base-pairing at the 3rd anti-codon position. The record is from RNAcentral. Lineage: Eukaryota; Metazoa; Arthropoda; Insecta; Orthoptera; Acrididae.
CAAGGUAAAACUUAUUAGUAAAGUAUUUCAUUUACACUGAAAAUUGUCUUGUGCAAUUCAAGAUGUCUUGA